Molecule: long non-coding RNA, 894 nt
Filed under: Fukomys damarensis (Damara mole-rat)
Lineage: Eukaryota; Metazoa; Chordata; Mammalia; Rodentia; Bathyergidae
Description: lncRNA (ENSFDAG00000030022.1)
Source: RNAcentral
GUGCAAGUAGUUCUACAGGAUGGGGAACCAAUGCCGUCUGGAUGAAGUAAGCAGUACACGAAUAGAUUGGCCUGGACAUGUAUAUUGUAUGUAGAGGAAAGAGGAGGUCGCUUGACUGUUCUUUGCAAAUAAAUUUCUUAACCAGUAGGCUUCCAUAGAAUUGAGCAUCCAUGAAUCCAAGACCGCCCUUUCCACACUAGCUGGAAAACACGUGACCCUCGUUGCUGACUAAGUGCAGAUGCACAGGGUUAGCAGUUAGCUAAACAGCACGCAGCUGGGAUGGCUCGUGAAGGGCGAGACCCCUGAUCAGACAAGCGCCCGUAGAAAGCUCCCCAGUUUCCAUCUGGAAGUGGGGAAGUCCAGGAAAGGCUAAGAUUAUUUUUGAUUAAUAUCUUCAGAUUUUCUCGAACACAGAGAAUAAUAGGUGAAGGGAGCCCUCAAUUCCUAUUUCCUGGAAAACAGCCCAAUCGGCACAUUAGGAGCCAACCUCACGAGCACAAUCUAUCUGUACAGAAUCAAGAGCGAACCUGUCCAAGUGUGGCUUAACUGUUGCUGUCUUUGUGAUACACGUGUGGAAGAAGGAGAGCAGUCACCCAGCUGAGUGAGAAGAGCCAGCACCUGCUGUUGUCCAGCCUCACUCUUGCUGCUGCAGUAACAAAGGUGGAGGAAGCCAUCUGGGAGAACCCCACCUAGGAACGCCAGAAGCUCUUUUCUUCUAUGUGGAGCUCUCAGAUUGCUGUUAAGAGUAAGAAAGGAUUAAACUUCCCCUGUCCAUAGCUUUCCUAAGUAUUUCUUCCCCGACAAAGGAAAGGUAUCCCAGGGAUGCUACCCGCCAUUGUACCUACAUGUGUUGGGUUUUGGUUGAUCUCUUUUGGCAUCUUUCCUGGUCAAGCC